RNAcentral lists this ribosomal RNA (587 nucleotides) under uncultured bacterium. RNAcentral's name for it is "bacterial SSU rRNA". It matches the Rfam family "Bacterial small subunit ribosomal RNA", at positions 338 to 916 of the family's 1533-position model. The record is from RNAcentral.
CCUACGGGAGGCAGCAGUAGGGAAUCUUCCGCAAUGGACGAAAGUCUGACGGAGCAACGCCGCGUGAACGAAGAAGGCCUUCGGGUCGUAAAGUUCUGUUGUUAGGGAAGAACAAGUACCAGAGUAACUGCUGGUACCUUGACGGUACCUGACCAGAAAGCCACGGCUAACUACGUGCCAGCAGCCGCGGUAAUACGUAGGUGGCAAGCGUUGUCCGGAAUUAUUGGGCGUAAAGCGCGCGCAGGCGGUUCCUUAAGUCUGAUGUGAAAGCCCACGGCUCAACCGUGGAGGGUCAUUGGAAACUGGGGGACUUGAGUGCAGAAGAGGAGAGUGGAAUUCCACGUGUAGCGGUGAAAUGCGUAGAGAUGUGGAGGAACACCAGUGGCGAAGGCGACUCUCUGGUCUGUAACUGACGCUGAGGCGCGAAAGCGUGGGGAGCAAACAGGAUUAGAUACCCUGGUAGUCCACGCCGUAAACGAUGAGUGCUAAGUGUUAGGGGGUUUCCGCCCCUUAGUGCUGCAGCUAACGCAUUAAGCACUCCGCCUGGGGAGUACGGCCGCAAGGCUGAAACUCAAAGGAAUUGACGG